RNAcentral lists this transfer RNA (64 nucleotides) under Podontia lutea. Its description in RNAcentral is "tRNA-Ile". The record is from RNAcentral. Lineage: Eukaryota; Metazoa; Arthropoda; Insecta; Coleoptera; Chrysomelidae.
UAUAAGAUGCCUGAUUAAAGGAUAAUUUUGAUAGAAUUAAUCAUGUGUGAAUACACUCUUAUAA